RNAcentral lists this unclassified non-coding RNA (903 nucleotides) under Homo sapiens (human). RNAcentral describes it as "lymphocyte specific protein 1 (ENSG00000288199.3)". Lineage: Eukaryota; Metazoa; Chordata; Mammalia; Primates; Hominidae. The record is from RNAcentral.
GCUGCAGAGCGGGACAAGGGUGCUGCCGGCACAGGGCUGACCACAGAGCACAUCAAAAGAGCCUCAGCCUGAAGCCCUCGGAGGCCCCUGAACUGGAUGAGGACGAGGGCUUUGGCGACUGGUCCCAGAGGCCAGAGCAGCGGCAGCAGCACGAGGGGGCGCAGGGCGCCUUGGACAGCGGAGAGCCCCCCCAGUGCAGGAGUCCUGAGGGGGAGCAAGAGGACAGGCCCGGCCUGCAUGCCUACGAAAAGGAGGACAGUGAUGAAGUCCACCUGGAGGAGUUGAGUCUGAGCAAGGAGGGGCCAGGCCCAGAGGACACUGUCCAGGACAACCUGGGGGCCGCAGGGGCUGAGGAGGAACAGGAGGAGCACCAGAAAUGUCAGCAGCCCAGGACACCCAGCCCCUUGGUCUUGGAGGGGACCAUCGAACAGAGCUCGCCUCCCCUGAGCCCUACCACCAAACUCAUCGACAGGACCGAGUCCCUAAACCGCUCCAUAGAGAAGAGUAACAGUGUGAAGAAAUCCCAGCCAGACUUGCCCAUCUCCAAGAUUGAUCAGUGGCUGGAACAAUACACCCAGGCCAUCGAGACCGCUGGCCGGACCCCCAAGCUAGCCCGCCAGGCCUCCAUAGAGCUGCCCAGCAUGGCUGUGGCCAGUACCAAGAGUCGGUGGGAGACGGGUGAGGUACAGGCUCAGUCUGCGGCCAAGACUCCGUCCUGCAAGGAUAUUGUGGCUGGAGACAUGAGCAAGAAAAGCCUCUGGGAGCAGAAGGGAGGCUCCAAGACCUCAUCAACAAUUAAGAGCACCCCAUCUGGGAAGAGGUAUAAGUUUGUGGCCACCGGGCAUGGGAAGUAUGAGAAGGUGCUUGUGGAAGGGGGCCCGGCUCCCUAGGCGUCCCAUCUCG